GACGAACGCUGGCGGCGUGCCUAAUACAUGCAAGUAGAACGCUGAAGAGAGGAGCUUGCUCUUCUUGGAUGAGUUGCGAACGGGUGAGUAACGCGUAGGUAACCUGCCUUGUAGCGGGGGAUAACUAUUGGAAACGAUAGCUAAUACCGCAUAACAAUGGAUGACACAUGUCAUUUAUUUGAAAGGGGCAAUUGCUCCACUACAAGAUGGACCUGCGUUGUAUUAGCUAGUAGGUGAGGUAACGGCUCACCUAGGCGACGAUACAUAGCCGACCUGAGAGGGUGAUCGGCCACACUGGGACUGAGACACGGCCCAGACUCCUACGGGAGGCAGUAGUAGGGAAUCUUCGGCAAUGGGGGCAACCCUGACCGAGCAACGCCGCGUGAGUGAAGAAGGUUUUCGGAUCGUAAAGCUCUGUUGUAAGUCAAGAACGAGUGUGAGAGUGGAAAGUUCACACUGUGACGGUAGCUUACCAGAAAGGGACGGCUAACUACGUGCCAGCAGCCGCGGUAAUACGUAGGUCCCGAGCGUUGUCCGGAUUUAUUGGGCGUAAAGCGAGCGCAGGCGGUUUGAUAAGUCUGAAGUUAAAGGCUGUGGCUCAACCAUAGUUCGCUUUGGAAACUGUCAAACUUGAGUGCAGAAGGGGAGAGUGGAAUUCCAUGUGUAGCGGUGAAAUGCGUAGAUAGAUGGAGGAACACCGGUGGCGAAAGCGGCUCUCUGGUCUGUAACUGACGCUGAGGCUCGAAAGCGUGGGGAGCGAACAGGAUUAGAUACCCUGGUAGUCCACGCCGUAAACGAUGAGUGCUAGGUGUUGGAUCCUUUCCGGGAUUCAGUGCCGCAGCUAACGCAUUAAGCACUCCGCCUGGGGAGUACGACCGCAAGGUUGAAACUCAAAGGAAUUGACGGGGGCCCGCACAAGCGGUGGAGCAUGUGGUUUAAUUCGAAGCGACGCGAAGAACCCUACCAGGUCUUGACAUCCCGAUGCUAUUUCUAGAGAUAGAAAGUUACUUCGGUACAUCGGUGACAGGUGGUGCAUGGUUGUCGUCAGCUCGUGUCGUGAGAUGUUGGGUUAAGUCCCGCAACGAGCGCAACCCCUAUUGUUAGUUGCCAUCAUUCAGUUGGGCACUCUAGCGAGACUGCCGGUAAUAAACCGGAGGAAGGUGGGGAUGACGUCAAAUCAUCAUGCCCCUUAUGACCUGGGCUACACACGUGCUACAAUGGUUGGUACAACGAGUUGCGAGUCGGUGACGGCAAGCUAAUCUCUUAAAGCCAAUCUCAGUUCGGAUUGUAGGCUGCAACUCGCCUACAUGAAGUCAGAAUCGCUAGUAAUCGCGGAUCAGCACGCCGCGGUGAAUACGUUCCCGGGCCU
RNAcentral lists this ribosomal RNA (1369 nucleotides) under uncultured bacterium. RNAcentral's name for it is "bacterial SSU rRNA". It matches the Rfam family "Bacterial small subunit ribosomal RNA", at positions 28 to 1381 of the family's 1533-position model. The record is from RNAcentral.